This 84-nucleotide transfer RNA is filed under the name Nanobdellota archaeon. RNAcentral describes it as "Nanoarchaeota archaeon tRNA-Ser". It matches the Rfam family "tRNA". From Rfam's summary of the family: Transfer RNA (tRNA) molecules are approximately 80 nucleotides in length. Their secondary structure includes four short double-helical elements and three loops (D, anti-codon, and T loops). Lineage: Archaea; Nanobdellati; Nanobdellota. The record is from RNAcentral.
GCCACGGUCGCAUAAUCUGGUAUUGCGCGGGAUUGCUAAUUCCGUUUCCGCAAGGAUAUCCCGGUUCAAAUCCGGGCCGUGGCG